UUCCUGGAGCAGGGCAGAAGUGAAACCCACACGGACUGACACAGCCACAGCGCAGUCUCCUGCAGCCAGGACUCCCAUUUCCAUCACCUGCUUUGCCGAGCCUCGGAAGUGACCUAAGUUUCAGUCCGCCAGCUCCUGACAGCUCGAAUCAAAUGUCUGCCCAAACCUGGAUGGCCCAAGGAGCUGGCAUGGCUGAGGCACAGCUUGGAGCAGCUGGAGCGAUGCGGUGAGCAUCACAUCGAGGAUUCACCGGCCUGAUUUAUGAGGUACCCCUGACAGCCCGGUGACUGGGGGAAGCACGAGUCCAAGCUGACACCAGCUCCCCAGGAAAAAAAAAAAAAAAAAAACAAACAUCGCCGUGUCCUUGUCAGUGCCAGGCCCUCACCUGACCAUCCUCCUCCCUCCAUAUCACGAGGUUUUUACACAGGCUGGAGCCAAGCAGCCGGAGCAGAGAGGACAAAAAGGAUCCUCAGGCACCAGCCACCUGGAGCCGUGCUCCUAUUUUCUCCAUAAAAUUUGGAGAAAUCCCUCUGAACACAGUUUAAACCGAGAUGCUUGGUUAAUCCCCCUGCUAAAGCACCUCAGCGCAUGCCCUGGCUUAUUUUUUACCUUAGCUUUGUAUUUUCAGCUGCUCGGGUUUCACCUCAGUCACUUGAGGCUCUGUGUGAAGGUGCGUGAGGACGGCCAGGAGCAUCCAAAUGGAGGCCCCCAGACGCGAGCGUUUCUCCCUUAACCUUCUUGCACCAUCGGGAAUAAUAAUUCCUCGCAGGGCUGUUGCACAGCUUGAUUCAUUAAGGCUUAUGAAGUGCUUUUAGCUCCUGCACUGGAAGGCUCUGUGCGAGUUAUUUUGGACUGCUCAGGUGUUAGGAGCCGAGGCACUGCAGCAGGAAUACAAAUAAAUCAAGAAGCGAAGCUGCCCCCUUCCCGCAUGCAGCCCCUGCCCCCCACUGUUCUCCAUCACUGCUGGUGUCAAACAGUUAAUUUACAAGCCCAGCACUUUACAAAGCCCCUGGAGCACCAAUUGUCCCUUUCUCAUGCAACAUCAGCUCCUCAAAAAAGCCAGCUGAGUCUCCGGGGUCACCCCGCUCCUGCCCUUCCCAAGCCCCUAUCCAAAACCACCCGAAUAUUUAUUUCAAGCAAGCCCAGUCCAGCAUCACCCCUGUACAGCAUGAUGCUGGAAGUGCUGAAAUAACUCUGGAGGAAGGGGUGGACGCAGUCAGGGCUCUGAUCUGUGCCUUCUUGGGGAGGCAAUAUUCAAUCGGCAAAGGUGACCCAGAUACUCUAACGGGGCCACAGCCUGCCCACGAGCUGCUGCAGCAAGGCAGCAUCCCCAUGCCAGAGCCAGGCAUGGACAGAGCAGCUCUCAGGCCAGCAGGACAAACCGAGAGAGCACAGGGAAAAGAAGCAGGCUUGUGGCUUGGAAAGGUAAAGGCUCUGCAAGUCUCACAUGGCUUUUUUUUUUUCCCUCCCUCCCUCUGUCUCCCUCCCCUCCUCCAGUCUGUUGCACCGGAGCUGUCGGCCAUGCUGUUCCAGUUCAGGGGCUCCUGCAACAGAAAAGAUCAGCUGUUGGAGAACCCAUGGAAAGCCCUGGGGGAGAGCCAUGGCCGCAAGCUGAAGAAAUUCGUCUUUUCCUUGGACUCACUUGCACUGUGA
Molecule: long non-coding RNA, 1653 nt
Filed under: Anas platyrhynchos platyrhynchos (common mallard)
Lineage: Eukaryota; Metazoa; Chordata; Aves; Anseriformes; Anatidae
Description: lncRNA (ENSAPLG00000026846.1)
Source: RNAcentral